UACGUAGGGUGCGAGCGUUGUCCGGAAUUACUGGGCGUAAAGAGCUCGUAGGUGGUUUGUCGCGUUGUCCGUGAAAACUCACAGCUUAACUGUGGGCGUGCGGGCGAUACGGGCAGACUGGAGUACUGCAGGGGAGACUGGAAUUCCUGGUGUAGCGGUGGAAUGCGCAGAUAUCAGGAGGAACACCGGUGGCGAAGGCGGGUCUCUGGGACGGUACUGACGCUGAGACGCGAAAGCGUGGGGAGCGAACAGG
RNAcentral lists this ribosomal RNA (253 nucleotides) under uncultured bacterium. Its description in RNAcentral is "partial 16S ribosomal RNA". It matches the Rfam family "Bacterial small subunit ribosomal RNA", at positions 524 to 776 of the family's 1533-position model. The record is from RNAcentral.